RNAcentral lists this ribosomal RNA (253 nucleotides) under uncultured bacterium. RNAcentral's name for it is "partial 16S ribosomal RNA". It matches the Rfam family "Bacterial small subunit ribosomal RNA", at positions 524 to 776 of the family's 1533-position model. The record is from RNAcentral.
UACGGAGGGUGCAAGCGUUAUCCGGAUUCACUGGGUUUAAAGGGAGCGUAGGAGGGCAGGUAAGUCAGUGGUGAAAUCUUCGAGCUUAACUCGGAAACUGCCGUUGAUACUAUCUGUCUUGAAUACCGUGGAGAUGAGCGGAAUAUGUCAUGUAGCGGUGAAAUGCUUAGAUAUGACAUAGAACACCAAUUGCGAAGGCAGCUCGUUACACGAAUAUUGACUCUGAGGCUCGAAGGCGUGGGGAUCAAACAGG